AAUACGUAGGGAGCAAGCGUUGUUCGGAUUUACUGGGCGUAAAGGGCGCGUAGGCGGCGCGGUAAGUCACUUGUGAAAUCUCUGAGCUUAACUCAGAACGGCCAAGUGAUACUGCAGUGCUAGAGUGCAGAAGGGGCAAUCGGAAUUCUUGGUGUAGCGGUGAAAUGCGUAGAUAUCAAGAGGAACACCUGAGGUGAAGACGGGUUGCUAGGCUGACACUGACGCUGAGGCGCGAAAGCCAGGGGAGCAAACGG
This 254-nucleotide ribosomal RNA is filed under the name uncultured prokaryote. RNAcentral's name for it is "partial 16S ribosomal RNA". It matches the Rfam family "Bacterial small subunit ribosomal RNA", at positions 522 to 775 of the family's 1533-position model. The record is from RNAcentral.